This 253-nucleotide ribosomal RNA is filed under the name uncultured bacterium. RNAcentral describes it as "partial 16S ribosomal RNA". It matches the Rfam family "Bacterial small subunit ribosomal RNA", at positions 524 to 776 of the family's 1533-position model. The record is from RNAcentral.
UACGGGGGGGGCAAGCGUUGUUCGGAAUUACUGGGCGUAAAGGGCUCGUAGGCGGCCAACUAAGUCGGAUGUGAAAUCCCUAGGCUUAACCUGGGAACUGCAUCCGAUACUGGAUGGCUUGAAUCCGGGAGAGGGAUGCAGAAUUCCAGGUGUAGCGGUGAAAUGCGUAGAUAUCUGGAGGAAUACCGGUGGCGAAGGCGGCAUCCUGGACCGGCAUUGACGCUGAUGAGCGAAAGCUAGGGGAGCAAACGGG